CUUUGAUAUUAACUUACCCCUAAUAUCCGCCAGGGGACUACAAGCGUUAGCUUAAAACCCAAAGGACUUGGCGGUGCCUCACACCCACCUAGAGGAGCCUGUUCUUGAAUCGAUAAUCCCCGUUCAACCUCACCACCCCUUGUUAGACCCGCCUAUAUACCGCCGUCGUCAGCUCACCCUGUGAAGGACUCAAAGUGAGCAAAAUGGGUAAAACCCAGAACGUCAGGUCAAGGUGCAGCGUAUGGGGUGGGAAGAAAUGGGCUACAUUACCUGCAGACAGGUUAUACGAAUGGAGCCGUGAAACCGGCUCUUAAAGGUGGAUUUAGAAGUAAGGAGGAAGUAGAGAGUCCCCCUGAAGCCGGCUCUGAGGCGCGCACACACCGCCCGUCACC
This 392-nucleotide ribosomal RNA is filed under the name Spirinchus starksi (night smelt). RNAcentral describes it as "partial 12S ribosomal RNA". It matches the Rfam family "Bacterial small subunit ribosomal RNA", at positions 801 to 1401 of the family's 1533-position model. Lineage: Eukaryota; Metazoa; Chordata; Actinopteri; Osmeriformes; Osmeridae. The record is from RNAcentral.